GCGAAAGUGGCGGAACUGGUAGACGCGCUAGACUUAGGAUCUAGUCCCUAAGGGGGUGGGGGUUCGAGUCCCCCCUUUCGCACCA
Molecule: transfer RNA, 85 nt
Filed under: Acidobacteriota bacterium
Lineage: Bacteria; Pseudomonadati; Acidobacteriota
Description: tRNA-Leu
Rfam family: tRNA
About the family: Transfer RNA (tRNA) molecules are approximately 80 nucleotides in length. Their secondary structure includes four short double-helical elements and three loops (D, anti-codon, and T loops). Further hydrogen bonds mediate the characteristic L-shaped molecular structure. tRNAs have two regions of fundamental functional importance: the anti-codon, which is responsible for specific mRNA codon recognition, and the 3' end, to which the tRNAs corresponding amino acid is attached (by aminoacyl-tRNA synthetases). tRNAs cope with the degeneracy of the genetic code in two manners: having more than one tRNA (with a specific anti-codon) for a particular amino acid; and 'wobble' base-pairing, i.e. permitting non-standard base-pairing at the 3rd anti-codon position.
Source: RNAcentral